UUUCCGUAGGUGAGCCUGCGGAAGGAUCAUUAGAAAUGGCGGGGGAAGACUUGCUCUUCUCCCCAAAUCUCUAUUCUGUGCACUGUUUUUGUGUGCUGGGCUAGUUUCGGCUGGGUCAGCACGGGGUGGAGCUUUGGAAACUGUUUGCUAUGAAUUUUCCCCCGGGAAAGUUCCGCUGGAAACUUUUGACAUCUCCGCCGAAAUUUAAUACUAAUACUGACUGACCAUGAAAAAGUUAAUAUAACAACUUUCAGCAAUGGAUCUCUCGGCUUUCGCAUCAAUGAAGAACGCAGC
RNAcentral lists this unclassified non-coding RNA (294 nucleotides) under plant metagenome. Its description in RNAcentral is "partial contains small subunit ribosomal RNA, internal transcribed spacer 1, and 5.8S ribosomal RNA". The stretch from base 246 to 294 matches the Rfam family "5.8S ribosomal RNA", at positions 1 to 49 of the family's 154-position model. The record is from RNAcentral.